UUCUACUUCUGUUUUAUAGUGAUUGUAAAUUUGUAAGAUAAUCAAUUCCAAUUUCAAUAUCUUAUAAUCUCUGUCUGUUUCCUGGGUAAGUUAUAAUUCUUUGGAGUUUUGAAUUACCACAGAAGAAGUGGAUAGAUUUCUAGUAACAAAUGCUAUUCCCAAGCUUCACCCAAUUUUUAUCCACUUAGGUAAUCGCUGGAGCCCAAAGUCAGUAUUCUGUUUGUUUGUAUAAAUAUUGAGGAAUUCUUGAAACAAAUAGGAAUCUCAGAAAAUUUGGGGCCUCCCUUGAGAAUAUUAUUUGGGAAAUAUACCUUAUCUUAGUAGGAAAUUAUACAGAGAAAAAUUUAGGGACUGUUCAGUUAAUUAGUGAGUUGGAGGACCCUUUUCUUUGGGUGGACACUUUAGAAGGCAAUAUCUUACUUGCCUAUUGUUUGUUUCAAAAAGGCAAGAAAACUUUCUGUGUGCUUACAUGAGAUUAUUUCUUUAAUUUCUGUUUAGUACUGUGCUUGAUUUUGUAGAAAGGUAAUUUCAUUCCAUUUUAAUUUGUUACUGAUGGAUAUUAGUUGGAAAACUCAAGUUAGCAAGUCUCUGUAUUUAUGAAUGGAAAGUGUUAUGAACUCUGUGGGGGUUUAGGGUGUCCCUGAACAUGACCCGCUAGGAAGAGACAGGCAACUUUUUUGCCGGCAUUUGUAGUCUGCCGGAAAAGUGGGUUCUACCUCUAAGGAAGCAAGGAUGCUGAACUGGUUGAUGGCCUUCUGAUGAAAGAAAGUGAUAAUAAGUUGGUGAAGGCACGCUUCAGUGCUUUUUUUUUUUGGUAUAACCAUAGGUAUCUCCAAAGCCCAUUGGACUGGAACUAAAACUUCAGUGCAUUUUUUAAUACCCAUCUUCAUUCAUUUCUGUAGACUCAGAGGCUGAUCUCCUGUAACCUCUUAUGCUGAUCUCUUGAAAGCAAGUGAAUACGGGAGCCGAGCUCUGACCUCCAGCAACUCUGCAGCAGAUCUUGCCGAGCUCCCGUCUCUUUGAAGCCGGUCUCCUUUAACGAGUGUGAGCACUGUUCUACAAUGUGUGAACACAGUAGCCGGACUGCCGACCUCCUGCAACUCUCUCAAAACAAACUCACGAUAAUGUGAAUAUUGCUCUGUACAGAGUGUAAACUCCCUUUUAGAAAAAAUUAGCGGAUUGCCCUGUUUCCGCUUUUCAUUCUUAUUUAUACUGAAUCAAAUCAACCAUUACAAACUGAAAAGGAAAUUUACUCCGAGCUUGAAGCCACAUCGCACAAGACUCGGGUUACAGAAUGCGUGGGCAACUUACUCUUAACAAAUUAAAACAUGCAGAGCACGUGGGUACGUGCUUUAUUAAUAAAACAGAAAAAUAGUGCACGUGAGUACGUGCUUAACAAAAAAAAUGGCAUGAACGAGCUUACUUUCUUCAUUUCUCCCCCGUAAGCUUGUUCUUCACAUCUCCGAUCCCAAUCAUCACACUCAGCUUGUCGAUCUUGUCCCGAGACAGUGGCUUUGUCAGAAUGUCAGCCAGUUGUGCUUCAGUCUUGACAUAUUCGACUUCGACUUCUCCUUUCUGAACACAUUCCCGAAUAAAAUGAAACUUAAUGUCUAUAUGCUUCCUUCUGUUAUGAUAAACAGGAUUCUUUGUGAGCGCGAUUGCAGAUUUGUUGUCAACUCUUAAUACGAACUUGUUUGUCUUCCAACCGAUCAGCUCAUAUAACAGCCUACUAAUCCACGUGCCUUGACAAGUCCCUGUUGUUGCAGCAAUAUACUCAGCUUCACAUGAAGAUAAGGCUACGACUUUCUGAUUCUGUGAAAUCCAGGUGACAGGACUUUGGCCGAGAAAAUAGAUUACCCCUGUCGUACUUUUCCAAUCAUCUACGUCUCCGGCUAAGUCACUAUCGCUAUAGCCUACCAGCUUGAACUCCUCCUCUUCAACUUUGUUGUAAUUGCAGCCAUGAUGCAAAGUGCCUUUUACAUAGCAUAAUAUCUGUUUUACGGCCACCAGAUGUUUCGUUGUUGGGGCUUCCAUGAAUCGACUUACCAUCCCAACUGAAUAUGCGAGAUCGGGAUGAGUGUUCACCAAGUACCUUAGACUUCCGAUUGCACUCCUGUAUAGUGUUGCAUCUACCGAAGGACUUCCGUCUGAUUUGCUCAGCUUUACCCGUGUAUCCAUUGGAACCCGACAGGGCUUACACUCAGCCAUGCCAAGCUUUUCGAGUAUCUUCUCUGCAUACCCUGCCUGGUUAAGGGUGAUACUAUACGGCCUUUGCUUGACUUCUAUUCCCAGAUAGUAGCUUAGCUUUCCAAGAUCACUCAUCUCAAAGUUCUCUCUCAUCUUGGCUUUGAAAUCCUCCACUGCUCUCAGCUUUGAAUCCAUGAUUAUCAGAUCAUCUACGUACACUCCCACAAUCUGCACUUCAUCUCCUUUGUGUUUCUUGUAGACUGCAUGUUCGAUCACACAUCUUUGAAGCCCUAGUUCACGUAGACAUUUGUCUAGCUUUAUAUUCCAUGCACGAGGCGCCUGCUUAAGACCAUACAGGGCCUUCUGUAGCUUCAGAACCUUUCUUUCUUUCCCUUGUUCAACGAAUCCUUCUGGUUGUGUCACAUAAACCUCUUCUUCUAUCUCACCAUUCAAGAACGCGGAUUUGACAUCCAUAUGAUGCAUUAUCCAGCCUUCUUGAGCGGCUACAGCAAUUAAUACUCUCACAGUCUCCAGCCUGGCUACGGGAGCAAAGACUUCUUCAAAGUCUAUGCCUUGUUUCUGCACAUACCCCUUUGCAACAAGUCUCGCUUUAUAUUUAAUGAUCUCCCCUUCCGGAUUCUUCUUUACUUUGAAGAUCCAUUUCAGACCAAUAGCUUUCUGGUCCUUUAGGAGUUCUGCUAGUUCCCAUGUUUCGUUUCUCUGAAUAGCCUCCAUUUCUUCUAUCAUUGCUUGUCGCCAAUGUUCACUGCAGGCAGCUUUAUGGUAAGACGCUGGUUCUUCAAUUGACAUGAGGUAAAGACUGUAGUCUUGGUCGAUCUCCACUGUGUUGUCAUAAAUUUCUUGAAGAGUCCUGAACCUCCUUGGUCCCUCUGAGCUGCUUUCUCCUGUCUCUGAAUGUUCUAGACCUGACUCGGCUAUAGGUGAUAAGGAAGCUGGCGUCAGUUCCUGACUUUGGAGGUUUUUGUCUUCUUGUAUUUGUGCUUCCUUGUAUGUGAUGACAAGUGGUCCUUCUGUUGUGGAGUUUGAUGUUGUCUGGCCUGCCAUUUCCACUUCUCUUCUUCCUGAAACACAACAUCCCGACUUACCACAAUUCGAUUAGAAUUUGGAUUCAAUAACCGAUAUGCUUUGGACCCUGGUUCAUAUCCCAAUAAAACCAGCUUCAUGCUUCUAUCAUCCAAUUUUCUCAAGUGAGGAGCUGUGUUCUUGGCAUAUGCAAUGCAACCAAAAACACGCAUAUGAUGAACACUUGGGAGUCUUCCAUGCCACGCUUGAUACGGAGUCAUGCCUUGGACACUUCUUGUGGGUGAUCUGUUCAAUAUGUAUAUUGCAGUACGUGCAGUUUCUCCCCAGUAUGUAGCUGGCACCCCGGAGCUAUUUAAUAGACACCUCAUCAUCUCCACUACGGUUUGGUUUCUCCGUUCUACUACACCGUUUUGCUGUGGGGAGUAAGGUGCAGUGAGUUGGCGUUUAAUACCAUGUACCUUGUAGUACUCUCCGAACUCAUUUGAUGCAAACUCACCUCCUCUGUCUGUUCUAAACAUUUUGAGCUUACAUUCGGACUGGAUUUCGAUCUGAGCUUUCACUUUCUUGAAAGCAUUAAAAACUUCAUCUUUACUUCUAAGCAUUUCAAUCCACAUAUAACGACUGUAGUCGUCCACAAGCAAAAGGAAAUACCUGUUUCCGCCGCAUGUGGUAGGUGAUAUCGGCCCACACAGAUCACCAUGCAUGAGCUCCAGAGGUUUAGUUGCUUGAUACUCUCCUGCUUUCGGGAAACUUGUGCGAUGCUGCUUGCUGAUCAUACAGGGUUCACAAAUGUACUUCACUGUUUCUAUCUCCGGUAAACCUUUCACCAUGCUUGAUAGUUAAGAUGCCCAUAGCGUGCAUGCCAUAGACACGAUUUUUUUGACAACCUUGUCAAGUGGCACUCCAAUUUAGCUUGUAUCAUCCUCAUCGUAUACAGACGAUUUUCAGCUCUCUGGACCUUGGCUAUCAACCUGUCCUUUGCGUCAUAUACUCUGAGAAUUCCUCCAUUCACCACCACUUUUGCUCCUGAUUCGUCGAGUUGACCAAGGCUUAUAAUAUUGGAUCUUAAUCGAGGAAUGUAGUACACAUUUGUUAGUUUAAAAUGAUCUCCAUUCUUGCACUGAAACACUAAAGUACCUUGGCCUUCUACCUUGACGACGGAACCAUCACCGAACUUGACAUUCCCUUUUACUGUUUCAUCGAGAUCAGUUAAGGCCUGCUUGUUGCUUGUCAUAUGAUUGCUUGCCCCCAUAUCAUAGUACCACAUGGUUCCUUUCGUUUCUAUUCCUUCAAAGUCAUGCAUCUAUUCUUCAUUCAGCAUUAGCUCCUCUUCCUUCUCUUCACCGAUGUGAAUCAUCUCACUGGUUUCUAGCAUCAACAACGUCGACUCCUCUUCGAAUUGUUCCACUAAAUGUGCCUCAUUCUGUUUCUUCCUUUCAGCUUUACAAUCAGAUUGAAAAUGGACAUAUUCGUUGCAAUUGUAACACCUGACCUUUUUAAUGUCAAACUUCUGAUGGUGUUGUCCUUCAUCAUCCUGACCUCGGCCUGUUCCAGGAGGGCAACGACCUCUGCCGCGACCUCCUCCUCUGCCUCUGCCGCGUCCUCUACCACGUCCACUUCCGCGUCCUCGACCUCUACUCAUGUCCUGCGGACGCUUCUCAUUGGUUUUUGAGGACUCAGCUCGUGCUUUACACUCUCCUUUAGUAAGUAGCACGUGUUCGUCUAUUCUGGAGUCGUAGCUUCGCAACCUCUCUCGUGAGCUUUGAGAGAACCAGUUACUUCUUCAAUCGUCUUUACAGACAGAUUCCCGAAUUCUUCUAUGGUUGAGGCAAUCUGAAGAUACUUAGGGGACACUGAACGCAACAUUUUCUUUACUACAUAUGUUUUAUUAACCACUUCUCCACGUGCUCGGAGCUUGUUGACAACAGUUGAGAUUUUUCCGGUGAAGUCAUCGACAGACUCACCAUUUUCCAUUCUCAUGCUUUCGAGCUCCCAUCUAAGAGCUUGUGCUCGUACUUCUUUGACCCUCUCUGCACCGAGGUUCAUAACCUUGAGAGCAUCCCAUACCUCUUUAGCUGAUUUCUUUACCCCCAACUGUAACAGGGUGUCUUCGGUGAUCCCUUGAAAGAUUGCUGCCAAUGCAAUCCGGUCUGAACGUGGAUCAACUAGAUCUUCCGACUCAACGACAUCCCAAACACCUUGAGCUUGCAUAUAGACUUGCAUCUUGAUUGCCCAAGCUACAUAAUUUGUCUUUGUUAGGAGCGGAUACUGUAGAGAGACACCCCCUUCCUUUACGGGCGCUCUCACUACGGUUUUUGCCGUCUGACCAGUUUCUGUCGUCUGACCGCCAUUGCCGCCAUUGCCACUACAGACAGCACUCGACGAUGAUGAUUCGUGCCUAGGCAUGUAUUUGGGCAUAAACAAGGUCCCGGGCUCUGAUACCAAGUGUAGACUCAGAGGCUGAUCUCCUGUAACCUCUUAUGCCGAUCUCUUGAAAGCAAGUGAAUACGGGAGCCGAGCUCCGACCUCCAGUAACUCUGCAGCAGAUCUUGCCGAGCUCCCGUCUCUUUGAAGCCGGUCUCCUUUAACGAGUGUGAGCACUCUUCUACAAUGUGUGAACACUGUAGCCAGACUGCCGACCUCCUGCAACUCUCUCAAAACAAACUCACGAUAAUGUGAAUAUUGCUCUGUGCAGAGUGUAAACUCCCUUUUAGAAAAAAUUAGCGGCUUGCCUUGUUUUCGCUUUUCAUUCUUAUUUAUACUGAAUCAAAUCAACCAUUACAAACUGAAAAGGAAAUUUACUCCGAGCUUGAAGCCACAUCGCGCAAGACUCGAGUUACAGAAUACGUGGGCAACUUACUCUUAACAAAUUAAAACAUGCAGAGCACGUGGGUACGUGCUUUAUUAAUAAAACAGAAAAAUAGUGCACGUGAGUACGUGCUUAACAAAAAAAAUGGCAUGAACGAGCUUACUUUCUUCAAUUUCUUCAUACAGAGGGAAUUAAGAGUUUGGUGAUUGUUGGUAAGUGCAAUUUCAGGACUCCCGACCCUUCUAAAUUGAAUGACUUGAAGAGGUAUUGUUGAUAUUUGUGUGAUUUGAGUCAUUCCUACAUAUUUAGGUGUUCAAACUCCAAAUUGCACAGUCAGACUGUCCUUGAUGCGGUAGCAUUGAAUUACCAAAAUGUUUCUGUUGUUGUUGAUGCCACAGCGGCAGCUACACCUGAUAUACAUGUAGUUAUAUACUCUUAGAAUCGAAUGAGCAUGGCUUGUUCUAGGUAGAUAUUUAUCCUUUUCUUUCAAUUAAAACUUUCAAGAAUUUGACUUGCAUGCUGAAAAUGUAAUUGUGUUUAUAUAAGUUGGCUGCUGAUAUUGUGAUGCUCAUGGGCUUGAGAAUAAUUUUCUAAUUUCUAUGAGGAAGGUGAAAUUUAAGACUAAGGUUGAUGGUUUUGUUGCUAUCCGUUUAGUUCACUGGGAGACAUUGUCUUACUUGUUCCAUUGUACAGUAUAGUAUUUUCUUGUCCAAAAUCAGUAAUGGUCCAAUGGAUUUCGUUUGGCG
This 6786-nucleotide long non-coding RNA is filed under the name Manihot esculenta (cassava). RNAcentral describes it as "long non-coding RNA (MESC_LNC006378)". Lineage: Eukaryota; Viridiplantae; Streptophyta; Magnoliopsida; Malpighiales; Euphorbiaceae. The record is from RNAcentral.